GCAGAUGUCUCGCUUAGUCCCUGUUGGGUUGAUCCACCGUGGAUCAGUCCUGCGGGGAGCCGGGGAACCACGUGUUUUCUGGGGUGAAUCGGCAGGCGCGACGGUCGCACGUUGACCGCCGGACCCGCCGUAGGGCAACUUCCCGGCCCGAACCCGUCAGCUCACCCGGUAGGCGUUGAGGAAGAAAGG
This 189-nucleotide small RNA is filed under the name Actinopolymorpha singaporensis. RNAcentral describes it as "c-di-AMP sequence". The stretch from base 31 to 189 matches the Rfam family "c-di-AMP riboswitch aptamer (ydaO/yuaA leader)". Rfam says of the family: This family represents a conserved RNA structure found upstream of the ydaO and yuaA genes in Bacillus subtilis and related genes in other bacteria. The ydaO/yuaA element is thought to act as a genetic "off" switch for the ydaO and yuaA genes in its native state. It is believed that the element may be triggered during osmotic shock leading to activation of ydaO, a predicted amino acid transporter gene, and members of the yuaA-yubG operon which code for KtrA and KtrB K+ transporters. Lineage: Bacteria; Bacillati; Actinomycetota; Actinomycetes; Propionibacteriales; Actinopolymorphaceae. The record is from RNAcentral.